This 626-nucleotide long non-coding RNA is filed under the name Panax ginseng (ginseng). Its description in RNAcentral is "long non-coding RNA (PGIN_LNC005738)". Lineage: Eukaryota; Viridiplantae; Streptophyta; Magnoliopsida; Apiales; Araliaceae. The record is from RNAcentral.
AUGGCGAACUCAUAUUGUGGAGUUCCCUUGGAGGGGCGUGGAUAGCAUUCCCAUGAAUUUGGCAUUGAUAGCACCUCUUGACAUGAUCAUCAUAGUCAGCUUUGAGCGUAAGCCAAUAAUGCCCUAUUCUGAGGAUUUUCUUAACAAGUAGGGGUCCGCUCAUGUGUGGGCCACAUACUCCACCAUGGAUCUCAUUCAUGAGCCUCUGAGCUUGGUCUUUGUCCAGAUAUCUGAGGAGACCUAAUCCUGCAUCUCUUUUGUAGAGUGCAUCUCCGCUCAGGUAGAAUUUCAUAGCAAGUCAAUGGAUCCGCCUUCUUUCAGUCAGGCUCUCCUCAGCGUGUGUAGAUCCAUCUCACAGAUAUUCCUUGAUGUGCUGAUACCAAGGGUUGUGGAUGAGAGGUAGAUCAUCCGAUACUUCUCCAACAUAGUUCCCAUAAGAUGGGGCCUUUUGCAGAGUAAAUGUGAUGUUUGGCAUGUUUUCUUUGUCAGGUAUGUGAAUUAAGGAGGCCAACGUUGCUAGUGCAUCCGCAAAAUCAUUCUUAUUACGAGGAAUGUGUAGAAAGGAGAUUUCUUCAAACUCCAAAGCCAUCUGUAGAACUUGUCGAUGCUAAAGCAGCAAAUGUAAU